Molecule: ribosomal RNA, 1271 nt
Filed under: Escherichia coli
Lineage: Bacteria; Pseudomonadati; Pseudomonadota; Gammaproteobacteria; Enterobacterales; Enterobacteriaceae
Description: partial 23S ribosomal RNA
Rfam family: Bacterial large subunit ribosomal RNA
Source: RNAcentral
CAUAGGUUAAUGAGGCGAACCGGGGGAACUGAAACAUCUAAGUACCCCGAGGAAAAGAAAUCAACCGAGAUUCCCCCAGUAGCGGCGAGCGAACGGGGAGGAGCCCAGAGCCUGAAUCAGUGUGUGUGUUAGUGGAAGCGUCUGGAAAGGCGCGCGAUACAGGGUGACAGCCCCGUACACAAAAAUGCACAUGCUGUGAGCUCGAUGAGUAGGGCGGGACACGUGGUAUCCUGUCUGAAUAUGGGGGGACCAUCCUCCAAGGCUAAAUACUCCUGACUGACCGAUAGUGAACCAGUACCGUGAGGGAAAGGCGAAAAGAACCCCGGCGAGGGGAGUGAAAAAGAACCUGAAACCGUGUACGUACAAGCAGUGGGAGCCUCUUAAUGGGGUGACUGCGUACCUUUUGUAUAAUGGGUCAGCGACUUAUAUUCUGUAGCAAGGUUAACCGAAUAGGGGAGCCGAAGGGAAACCGAGUCUUAACUGGGCGUUAAGUUGCAGGGUAUAGACCCGAAACCCGGUGAUCUAGCCAUGGGCAGGUUGAAGGUUGGGUAACACUAACUGGAGGACCGAACCGACUAAUGUUGAAAAAUUAGCGGAUGACUUGUGGCUGGGGGUGAAAGGCCAAUCAAACCGGGAGAUAGCUGGUUCUCCCCGAAAGCUAUUUAGGUAGCGCCUCGUGAAUUCAUCUCCGGGGGUAGAGCACUGUUUCGGCAAGGGGGUCAUCCCGACUUACCAACCCGAUGCAAACUGCGAAUACCGGAGAAUGUUAUCACGGGAGACACACGGCGGGUGCUAACGUCCGUCGUGAAGAGGGAAACAACCCAGACCGCCAGCUAAGGUCCCAAAGUCAUGGUUAAGUGGGAAACGAUGUGGGAAGGCCCAGACAGCCAGGAUGUUGGCUUAGAAGCAGCCAUCAUUUAAAGAAAGCGUAAUAGCUCACUGGUCGAGUCGGCCUGCGCGGAAGAUGUAACGGGGCUAAACCAUGCACCGAAGCUGCGGCAGCGACACUAUGUGUUGUUGGGUAGGGGAGCGUUCUGUAAGCCUGUGAAGGUGGCCUGUGAGGGUUGCUGGAGGUAUCAGAAGUGCGAAUGCUGACAUAAGUAACGAUAAAGCGGGUGAAAAGCCCGCUCGCCGGAAGACCAAGGGUUCCUGUCCAACGUUAAUCGGGGCAGGGUGAGUCGACCCCUAAGGCGAGGCCGAAAGGCGUAGUCGAUGGGAAACAGGUUAAUAUUCCUGUACUUGGUGUUACUGCGAAGGGGGGACGGAGAAGG